This 771-nucleotide ribosomal RNA is filed under the name uncultured Neocallimastigales. RNAcentral's name for it is "partial large subunit ribosomal RNA". It matches the Rfam family "Eukaryotic large subunit ribosomal RNA", at positions 22 to 633 of the family's 3401-position model. The record is from RNAcentral. Lineage: Eukaryota; Fungi; Neocallimastigomycota; Neocallimastigomycetes; Neocallimastigales.
GUACACGCUGUGACUAGCAUAUCAAUAAGCGGAGGAAAAGAAACUAACAAGGAUUCCCUUAGUAACGGCGAGUGAAGCGGGAAGAGCUCAAAUUUGAAAUCUUGAAAGGUCACCCUUCACGAAUUGUAGUUUAAAGAAGUGUUUUCUGUUACGAUCGUAAUAUAAGUUCUUUGGAAUAGGACAUCAUAGAGGGUGAGAAUCCCGUAUUUGACCAUUAUUUUCAGCUUUGUGAUACACUUUCAAAGAGUCGGAUUGUUUGGGAAUGCAGUCCAAAAUGGGUGGUAAAUUUCAUCUAAAGCUAAAUAUUGGCGAGAGACCGAUAGCGAACAAGUACCGUGAGGGAAAGAUGAAAAGAACUUUGAAAAGAGAGUUAAACAGUACGUGAAAUUGUCAAAAGGGAAGCGUUUGACACCAGUGUUGUUUUCUGAAAAUCAACCUCUGUUAGCUUUAUGCAUGUUUGUUUAGACCUAAUCAGCUAUCUUGCAUGUUCUAUUGUUUGCAGUGGUGCACUUUUCAGUUUACAGGUCAACAUCAGUUUUUUUUACCGUAAAAAAGUUAAAGAAAGGUAGCUCAUGGCUCCGGUCGUGAGUGUUAUAGUCUUUUUCCUAUGCGGUAGGAGAGACUGAGGUCUGCAGUGUAGGCUAUUUGGCUAGAUACUCAGGUGCUAUGUGAUACCAUUUCAUAAACAACUUGUUGAUUAUGUUUUGUCUAUUGCAUACUCGCUUGUACUAUCAUACCUACGCUUAGGAUAUUGACGCAUGAGAUAUACGC